This 264-nucleotide ribosomal RNA is filed under the name uncultured bacterium. RNAcentral's name for it is "partial 16S ribosomal RNA". It matches the Rfam family "Bacterial small subunit ribosomal RNA", at positions 90 to 354 of the family's 1533-position model. The record is from RNAcentral.
ACUGAGUGGCGGACGGGUGAGUAACGCGUGGGUAACCUGCCCUGUACAGGGGGACAACAGUUAGAAAUGACUGCUAAUACCGCAUAAGCGCACAGGACCGCAUGGUCCGGUGUGAAAAACUCCGGUGGUACAGGAUGGACCCGCGUCUGAUUAGGUAGUUGGCGGGGUAACGGCCCACCAAGCCGACGAUCAGUAGCCGACCUGAGAGGGUGAACGGCCACAUUGGGACUGAGACACGGCCCAAACUCCUACGGAAGGCAGCAG